CUUAAGUGGGGAAUAACGCAUCGAAAGGUGUGCUAAUACCGCAUAAUCUCUGAGGAGAAAAGCAGGGGAUCGCAAGACCUUGCGCUUUUGGAGCGGCCGAUGUCUGAUUAGCUUGUUGGUGAGGUAAAGGCUUACCAAGGCUUCGAUCAGUAGCUGGUCUGAGAGGACGGCCAGCCACACUGGGACUGAGACACGGCCCAGACUCCUACGGGAGGCAGCAGUGGGGAAUUUUGGACAAUGGGGGCAACCCUGAUCCAGCCAUGCCGCGUGAGUGAAGAAGGCCUUCGGGUUGUAAAGCUCUUUCAGCCGGAACGAAACGGUUACGGUUAAUACCCGUAACUACUGACGGUACCGGAAGAAGAAGCACCGGCUAACUACGUGCCAGCAGCCGCGGUAAUACGUAGGGUGCGAGCGUUAAUCGGAAUUACUGGGCGUAAAGCGUGCGCAGGUGGUUUUGUAAGUCAGAUGUGAAAUCCCCGGGCUUAACCUGGGAACUGCGUUUGAAACUACAAGGCUUGAGUGUGGCAGAGGGGGGCGGAAUUCCGCGUGUAGCAGUGAAAUGCGUAGAGAUGUGGAGGAACACCGAUGGCGAAGGCAGCCCCCUGGGUCAACACUGACGCUCAGGCACGAAAGCAUGGGGGGCAAACAGGAUUAGAUACCCUGGUAGUCCAUGCCCUAAACGAUGUCAACUAGUUGUCGGGUCUUAACGGGCUUGGUAACGUAGCUAACGCGUGAAGUUGACCGCCUGGGGAGUACGAUCGCAAGAUUAAAACUCAAAGGAAUUGACGGGGACCCGCACAAGCGGUGGAUUAUGUGGAUUAAUUCGAUGCAACGCGAAAAACCUUACCUACCCUUGACAUGUAUUGGAGCCCGCAGAGAUGUGGGUGUGCCCGAAAGGGAACGAUAACACAGGUGCUGCAUGGCUGUCGUCAGCUCGUGUCGUGAGAUGUUGGGUUAAGUCCCGCAACGAGCGCAACCCUUGUCAUUAAUUGCCAUCAUUUAGUUGGGCACUUUAAUGAGACUGCCGGUGACAAACCGGAGGAAGGUGGGGAUGACGUCAAGUCCUCAUGGCCCUUAUGGGUAGGGCUUCACACGUAA
RNAcentral lists this ribosomal RNA (1098 nucleotides) under uncultured ammonia-oxidizing bacterium. RNAcentral describes it as "bacterial SSU rRNA". It matches the Rfam family "Bacterial small subunit ribosomal RNA", at positions 131 to 1225 of the family's 1533-position model. The record is from RNAcentral.